CCUAGGGAGGCAGCAGUGGGGGAUAUUGCACAAUGGGGGGAACCCUGAUGCAGCGACGCCGCGUGAGCGAUGGAGUACUUCGGUAUGUAAAGCUCUGUCAGCAGGGAAGAAAAUGACGGUACCUGACCAAGAAGCCCCGGCUAAAUACGUGCCAGCAGCCGCGGUAAUACGUAUGGGGCAAGCGUUAUCCGGAUUUACUGGGUGUAAAGGGAGUGUAGGCGGGAAAGCAAGUCAGAAGUGAAAACUAUGGGCUUAACCCAUAGCCUGCUUUUGAAACUGUUUUUCUUGAGUGAAGUAGAGGCAAGCGGCAUUCCUAGUGUAGCGGUGAAAUGCGUAGAUAUUAGGAGGAACACCAGUGGCGAAGGCGGCUUGCUGGGCUUUUACUGACGCUGAGGCUCGAAAGCGUGGGGAGCAAACAGGAUUAGAUACCCCAGUAGUC
Molecule: ribosomal RNA, 439 nt
Filed under: uncultured bacterium
Lineage: Bacteria
Description: partial 16S ribosomal RNA
Rfam family: Bacterial small subunit ribosomal RNA
Source: RNAcentral